Molecule: ribosomal RNA, 236 nt
Filed under: Paenibacillus agri
Lineage: Bacteria; Bacillati; Bacillota; Bacilli; Caryophanales; Paenibacillaceae
Description: Bacterial large subunit ribosomal RNA
Rfam family: Bacterial large subunit ribosomal RNA
Source: Rfam by way of RNAcentral
CAGAACGUCGUGAGACAGUUCGGUCCCUAUCUGUCGUGGGCGUAGGAAAUUUGAGAGGAGCUGUCCUUAGUACGAGAGGACCGGGAUGGACGUACCGCUGGUGCACCAGUUGUUCCGCCAGAAGCAUGGCUGGGUAGCUACGUACGGACGGGAUAAGCGCUGAAAGCAUCUAAGCGUGAAGCCCCCCUCAAGAUGAGAUUUCCCAAUUAGUAAGACCCCUUGAAGACGACGAGGUA